RNAcentral lists this ribosomal RNA (253 nucleotides) under uncultured bacterium. RNAcentral's name for it is "partial 16S ribosomal RNA". It matches the Rfam family "Bacterial small subunit ribosomal RNA", at positions 524 to 776 of the family's 1533-position model. The record is from RNAcentral.
UACGGGGGGGGCAAGCGUUGUUCGGAAUUACUGGGCGUAAAGGGCUCGUAGGCGGCCAACUAAGUCAGACGUGAAAUCCCGCGGCUCAACCGGGGAACUGCGUCUGAUACUGGGUGGCUUGAAUCCGGGAGAGGGAUGCGGAAUUCCAGGUGUAGCGGUGAAAUGCGUAGAUAUCUGGAGGAACACCGGUGGCGAAGGCGGCAUCCUGGACCGGCAUUGACGCUGAGGCGCGAAAGCCAGGGGAGCAAACGGG